GAUGAAGAACGUAGCAAAAUGCGAUACGUAGUGUGAAUUGCAGAGGUAUGUGAAUCAUCGAAUCUUUGAACGCACAUUGCGCCCCCUGGUAUUCCGGGGGGCAUGCCUGUUCGAGCGUCAUUUCACCACUCAAGCCUCGCUUGGUAUUGGGCAACGCGGUCCGCCGCGUGCCUCAAAUCGACCGGCUGGGUCUUCUGUCCCCUAAGCGUUGUGGAAACUAUUCGCUAAAGGGUGUUCGGGAGGCUACGCCGUAAAACAACCCCAUUUCUAAGGUUGACCUCGGAUCAGGUAGGGAUACCCGCUGAACUUAAGCAUAUCAAUAAGCGGAGGA
RNAcentral lists this unclassified non-coding RNA (331 nucleotides) under soil metagenome. Its description in RNAcentral is "partial contains 5.8S ribosomal RNA, internal transcribed spacer 2, and large subunit ribosomal RNA". The stretch from base 1 to 120 matches the Rfam family "5.8S ribosomal RNA", at positions 35 to 154 of the family's 154-position model. The record is from RNAcentral.